GUUCACUGAUUUGAAGAGCUUGCUCAGAUAUGACGAUGGACAUUGCAAAGAGUGGCGAACGGGUGAGUAACACGUGGGAAACCUACCUCUUAGCAGGGGAUAACAUUUGGAAACAGAUGCUAAUACCGUAUAACAAUGACAACCGCAUGGUUGUUAUUUAAAAGAUGGUUCUGCUAUCACUAAGAGAUGGUCCCGCGGUGCAUUAGCUAGUUGGUAAGGUAAUGGCUUACCAAGGCGAUGAUGCAUAGCCGAGUUGAGAGACUGAUCGGCCACAAUGGGACUGAGACACGGCCCAUACUCCUACGGGAGGCAGCAGUAGGGAAUCUUCCACAAUGGGCGAAAGCCUGAUGGAGCAACGCCGCGUGUGUGAUGAAGGGUUUCGGCUCGUAAAACACUGUUGUAAGAGAAGAAUGACAUUGAGAGUAACUGUUCAAUGUGUGACGGUAUCUUACCAGAAAGGAACGGCUAAAUACGUGCCAGCAGCCGCGGUAAUACGUAUGUUCCAAGCGUUAUCCGGAUUUAUUGGGCGUAAAGCGAGCGCAGACGGUUAUUUAAGUCUGAAGUGAAAGCCCUCAGCUCAACUGAGGAAUUGCUUUGGAAACUGGAUGACUUGAGUGCAGUAGAGGAAAGUGGAACUCCAUGUGUAGCGGUGAAAUGCGUAGAUAUAUGGAAGAACACCAGUGGCGAAGGCGGCUUUCUGGACUGUAACUGACGUUGAGGCUCGAAAGUGUGGGUAGCAAACAGGAUUAGAUACCCUGGUAGUCCACACCGUAAACGAUGAGUGCUAGGUGUUUGAGGGUUUCCGCCCUUAAGUGCCGCAGCUAACGCAUUAAGCACUCCGCCUGGGGAGUACGACCGCAAGGUUGAAACUCAAAGGAAUUGACGGGGACCCGCACAAGCGGUGGAGCAUGUGGUUUAAUUCGAAGCAACGCGAAGAACCUUACCAGGUCUUGACAUCCCUUGACAACUCCAGAGAUGGAGCGUUCCCUUCGGGGACAAGGUGACAGGUGGUGCAUGGUUGUCGUCAGCUCGUGUCGUGAGAUGUUGGGUUAAGUCCCGCAACGAGCGCAACCCUUAUUACUAGUUGCCAGCAUUCAGUUGGGCACUCUAGUGAGACUGCCGGUGACAAACCGGAGGAAGGUGGGGAUGACGUCAAAUCAUCAUGCCCCUUAUGACCUGGGCUACACACGUGCUACAAUGGCGUAUACAACGAGUUGCCAACCCGCGAGGGUGAGCUAAUCUCUUAAAGUACGUCUCAGUUCGGAUUGUAGGCUGCAACUCGCCUACAUGAAGUCGGAAUCGCUAGUAAUCGCGGAUCAGCACGCCGCGGUGAAUACGUUCCCGGGUCUUGUACACACCGCCCGUCACACCAUGAGAGUUUGUAACACCCAAAGCCGGUGG
This 1401-nucleotide ribosomal RNA is filed under the name Weissella confusa. RNAcentral describes it as "bacterial SSU rRNA". It matches the Rfam family "Bacterial small subunit ribosomal RNA", at positions 68 to 1433 of the family's 1533-position model. Lineage: Bacteria; Bacillati; Bacillota; Bacilli; Lactobacillales; Lactobacillaceae. The record is from RNAcentral.